This 1114-nucleotide long non-coding RNA is filed under the name Olea europaea subsp. europaea. The record is from RNAcentral. Lineage: Eukaryota; Viridiplantae; Streptophyta; Magnoliopsida; Lamiales; Oleaceae.
AGAUGAUUGUGUGUGUGCCAGGGGCGGAGCCCAAUGGAAUCCAUAUGCCCGCACUGAACGUUUGGGCUCAACCACAUAGCCCAAAUUUAUUUAUUUUUUAAUUUUUUUAAUUUCCUCCAGUUCCAGCCCAGCUAUCCAGCGAAGCCCACUAGCCCAUUAACCCAACAUGAUCGAUACCCAUAAAAAAGAUACAACCCAUAACUCAUUCCCAAUUUCUGCCAUUAAAUUGAAAUUAUUGUAUCAAUUCAAGAUUUUCAUUUUUCAACCACCCCCGUCGCCCAUCUACACCCUACUCCGGUGCCACCUCAGCCUCAACCAAUCAACCUCCUCCUCCUCCCUCUGAUGACUAACUUCUAUCUUGCUCAGUUGCUCCGUAACCAUAAGGUAUGCCAGUCCCGCCAGUCUUUAACCUCCGUUGAAGGGUUGCAACAUUUUGGCUCAGGUGAUUCUUCCGGCGGCAAUCGACAGCCCUCAUAGCAAAAGAAGGUCUGAUUCGUCUCAAGGUGAAGCCCCAAUUUUUCAAAUUCCACCGACCCUGAAUCCCUGAUUGGCUGAUUAUUCACUAGCUCAUUUUGAAUUUUAUUUUUUUAUUUAUUUUUUUUUUGUUAUUCUGAUUUAUGUGAUUUGGUGGGUUUUUUUUUUUUUUUAAACAUAUGGAAUUAGGCAAUUAGCAACUCUUCAAUUGCUCGAACUGGAAGCCGCAUUGCCGUUUGCCAUUGCAUUUACACCGUGGGUUGCUUGCUUCCUCUCUGUCACUGGAAUUUUGAAAUAGUAUAUAUUGCCUUGUGAAUGAGAUUGUGAUCUGUGAAUCGAUGAAUGUGUUGGCUUGUUGCCUUGUGAAUUGCUUAUAAUAUUGGUAUUGCUAUGGCCUCUGUGAAUGGAAUUACUCUGUGAAUUACUUUGCUUUGCCUUUUCUUAUAGAAUUGCUCCCACUCCCAAUAAAUUUUUUUUUCAUCAUUAAAUUCAUUACCAAAACCUCGACGUUUGGAGUCAAAUUUUUUUUGCCCGCAUUGAAUAAAAUCCUGUCCGUCUCUCUGUGUGUGCGCGGGCGUGUUUUUUUUUAUUUUUAAAAUUUUUAAUUAUUUAAUGUGAUAAAAGGAAAUGUUACUUUUUU